RNAcentral lists this ribosomal RNA (521 nucleotides) under uncultured bacterium. Its description in RNAcentral is "bacterial SSU rRNA". It matches the Rfam family "Archaeal small subunit ribosomal RNA", at positions 345 to 866 of the family's 1478-position model. The record is from RNAcentral.
AACCUCCGCAAUGUGAGAAAUCGCGACGGGGGGAUCCCAAGUGCCAUUCUUAACGGGAUGGCUUUUCAUUAGUGUAAAGAGCUUUUGGAAUAAGGGCUGGGCAAGACCGGUGCCAGCCGCCGCGGUAACACCGGCAGCUCUAGUGGUAGCAGUUUUUAUUGGGCCUAAAGCGUCCGUAGCCGGUUUAAUAAGUCUCUGGUGAAAUCCUGUAGCUUAACUGUGGGAAUUGCUGGAGAUACUAUUAGACUUGAGACCGGGAGAGGUUGGAGGUACUCCCAGGGUAGAGGUGAAAUUCUGUAAUCCUGGGAGGACCGCCUGUUGCGAAGGCGUCUAACUGGAACGGUUCUGACGGUGAGGGACGAAAGUUAGGGGCGCGAACCGGAUUAGAUACCCGGGUAGUCCUAACUGUAAACGAUGCGGACUUGGUGUUGGGGCGGCUUUGAGCUGCUCCAGUGCCGAAGGGAAGCUGUUAAGUCCGCCGCCUGGGAAGUACGGUCGCAAGACUGAAACUUAAAGGAAGU